AUGGAUGGCGUUGGUGAUGGUGUCAAUCAUAAAGCAAGUUGUGAAGGAAAAGAAGUGCUGAGGGAUACACCUAUGCCUAAAAGCAUUGGAGCCGGAGGUGAUGUAUUUUCUAUUCCGGUGUGCAAAGUGCAUGUUGUUGACGGAGCACGUGCAUCGAACAAGGACGCGAAGCCUGCUGUUGUUUCUGAAUUUCUGAAGGAUGCUACAGUUGUGGACACCAACCUAGGCGGUGAUGCUCAUGCUAGUGCAGCAGGCCCCAAGGACGUAGGUGGUUUAAAUGCGUCUCAUGUGAUAGAUAAAUCAAAUGUUGAUGGUGGUGCAUCUGCUCCUGCACACUUUCUGGUAAUCAUGUACAAGUUCCCGAGGGGUUAG
RNAcentral lists this ribosomal RNA (372 nucleotides) under Triticum aestivum (bread wheat). RNAcentral's name for it is "partial small subunit ribosomal RNA". The record is from RNAcentral. Lineage: Eukaryota; Viridiplantae; Streptophyta; Magnoliopsida; Poales; Poaceae.